This is a long non-coding RNA of Phragmites australis (common reed), 2222 nucleotides long. RefSeq lists it as uncharacterized. The record is from RefSeq and is a predicted model, not a curated record. The transcript is spliced from 4 exons. NCBI's taxonomy places the organism in Eukaryota, Viridiplantae, Streptophyta, Magnoliopsida, Poales, Poaceae.
UAUAGAGGAAAAUAGAGUGCAUGAUUUCUAGAUGCGGGGUCCUUCAAACUUGCCACCACAACCAUCUCGGGAUGAGGACAAGAUUCUCAUCUGUCUUGUAGGAGAUACUUAAGUAUAUAAACUGUAUGACCUUACUGGUAGGAGGAUACGAUUGAUUAGCUCACUAGCAAACCAAAUUGUUAACUGAUGUGCAGGCAAUGGAAAGAAGAAAUUGCAGUUGAAGGCAGAAUUCCUAAUGGUAUCAUUGGUGUGUUAGUUCUAUGGUAUUUCCAUGGAUUAGUAACUCUAGAAGGAUGAGAAGAGCCCGUGUGGACAUGGCUGCACUACAGGACUGCUACAGCUUUUUUCUAAAGGAGGAGGAAUAGUGUUCGAGAAUUGUUUGCAGCAGGUGGAGGAAAGUUUACGGGUAAGUUUCUCCACAUACUUAUGUGUGCAUAAUUUUUUCAUUCAAUAAUUUAUUGUUGGCAAUAUUUCAUACUUGCAAUGGUGGUAUCUAUGGUCAAAAGGCCAGGAAGCUAAUGCUAGGAGAGUAGUGCGUAAUGCUGUCAAGAAUUUAAUCCCGCAAAUGAUAUACGAAGCACGCAUUCAAGAUGUCAUCACUUACCACAAAAAGGUGCUUCGAAGGUAAAUUUAUAGGCCUGAGGCUUGCCAAUAAUGGUUGAGGUGGAUGAGUACAUACAGAUUAUGUUGUGGUGGUGCCAUAGAUGCCUAGAUGCACAUGACAAGAUUGUAGAAUUAAAGUACUGCAACGAAGAAAAGAAAGAAGCAUCUCUUGCUGCUAGGGAAUGUAGACUUCCAGAUGGGUGGGAUUGUGCACCGUCAAGGCAGUUCCUCCAUGGCUCGUUUCCACAAUCUGGAGAAGAAGGAACAGAAGGUUGUGUCUGACGUAGAAACUUACUUAGUAGCGAGGAUGGGUGAUCAGGAAGGUACACUGUGCAAUCCACGCGCAGAAGAAAACUUAGAGGCAUUUAAUGAGGCUUCUAUUGAGCUUAAUGGUCUAGAGUUUAACAUGAUGAAAGAACCAAUUGAUGCGGCUGCUACCUAUAAGGCUGGAAAGAGUAAGAAACAUGGCUGCUUCAUGAUGGGCAAUGGCUACAUUAGCACACUAACAACUCUCUCCCAGGUCAGAGCACAGUGUUGGGUUAUUGGACAAUGAACGUCCUGCAAGACGACUAUGAACAGUAAGUGAUAGGGUGAAUGAUAUGGAGGCAAAGCUACAACAGGAAAUUGAGGCAAGCCAACUCAGGGUGACUGAUCUUAGGCAAAACUGCAGCAAGAAAUCGAGGCAAGGCAACAGAUGGGACAAAUACUGCAGGUUAGUUGUAUGCUUUUGAAUGAUUUUGGUUAGAUCACCAAUGCAUGAGUGUGAGCAUGGAACUGCCAGCAAAAAAAUAUCGAUAUUGUCCACUUGAAAGAUUCUCUAAUUCUUGUAGGUAAAAUUUUCAUGAAGAAUUUAGUCAUUAGAAUAUUGCUUUCAAGCAAGAAGUAUUACUAAGGUAACAUAUGACAAUCUAUAAAUUUAUAGUCUAUUAAUUCUCGGCUUAAUGGCAUGUCUCCAACAGAGGGGUCACUGGAUGUAGCAUCUAAUGAGGUUAGAAAACUUAUCGUUGUUUGAUAGGACUUGGAAUCCAUUUUGACAUUAUUUGAUCUCAUCUUCUCUGAAAACAAAUUACUGAGAACAACUGGAUCAACGGCAGCAUACACUGCUAUAGAUGGUCAGGCUAGAGAUGCUCACAUGUUGGCAGCCCAUUCCUGGAUCAUGUAUAUGAACCAGUCCAAAUUGACCACUUUAGUCACAAAAAAAAAAUGUAAGUCACUGCUACACAUUCUCCAUCAUUUUUCAUUUUGUCUACAUUUCAUCCUUUCACAGUUAUAGAUAUAGCCAACUCAACAAUGUUAAAAUUACAUUUUUCUUAAUUAGAUAUUAGUUAAAUGCAUAUCAACUAAUAUUGUUUCCAGCAUCUGAUUAUACUAUUCCCAAAAGACAUACAGCAUGACUACAAAAAAUUAUUUGCAAGCUCCAUUAAUCAACAUGGGUAAUUUCUAGUACUAAACCUUUUUUUAAAUGGCUUUGCAACUGGGCACUGAAAGACAGGACAUGGAUUGCUAGUUUAUGAACCUCUCGACGUCAACUCAUGUAUACAUACUCCAUGUUCAGCUAACUUGUUAAACUUCUUUGUGAAACUACUAUUUUGUUGAACUACUUAAAACUCUUAGAUGUG